This is a non-coding RNA of Gossypium hirsutum (cotton), 123 nucleotides long. The record is from Rfam. Lineage: Eukaryota; Viridiplantae; Streptophyta; Magnoliopsida; Malvales; Malvaceae.
AAUAGUAGCAUGACAAAUCAGAUUUUUCUUCCUGAUUUUCAGCUUUUUCUUCUUGAAAAAAUCCAAAUCCAACUAAAAAUGCUAAAAAUCGGGAGGAAAAAUAUGAUUUGUCAUGCUUAUAUU